GUGCACCAUGCGAGAAUUUUUCUCAAUGGGCGCAAGCCUGAAGGAGCGACGCCGCGUGGGGGAUGAAGGGUUUCGAUCCGUAAACCCCUGUCAUUUGCGAACAAACCCUGAGGUUUAAGAGAUAUCAGGCUGAUUGUAGCGAAAGAGGAAGGGACGGCUAACUCUGUGCCAGCAGCCGCGGUAAUACAGAGGUCCCAAGCGUUGUUCGGAUUCACUGGGCGUAAAGGGUGCGUAGGUGGCUUGGUAAGUUUGAUGUGAAAUCUCCGGGCUUAACCCGGAAAUGGCAUUGAAUACUAUUGAGCUGGAGGUUUGGAGGGGGGACUGGAAUUCUCGGUGUAGCAGUGAAAUGCGUAGAUAUCGAGAGGAACACCAGUGGCGAAGGCGAGUCCCUGGACAACACCUGACACUGAGGCACGAAAGCUAGGGGAGCAAACAGGAUUAGAUACCCCCGUAGU
Molecule: ribosomal RNA, 455 nt
Filed under: uncultured organism
Description: bacterial SSU rRNA
Rfam family: Bacterial small subunit ribosomal RNA
Source: RNAcentral